Mycena maculata is the source of this 101-nucleotide non-coding RNA. The record is from the annotation of a GenBank genome assembly. NCBI's taxonomy places the organism in Eukaryota, Fungi, Basidiomycota, Agaricomycetes, Agaricales, Mycenaceae.
GCUUCCUUGGCUCAGUUGGUUAGAGCGCCAGUCUCAUAGUUUAUGAGGAAUCAUUGGAUUCUUUCAUCUGGAGGUCAUGAGUUCGACCCUCAUAGGGAGCA